RNAcentral lists this non-coding RNA (169 nucleotides) under uncultured Rhizobium sp. Lineage: Bacteria; Pseudomonadati; Pseudomonadota; Alphaproteobacteria; Hyphomicrobiales; Rhizobiaceae. The record is from RNAcentral.
CGGUUUGCAAGAAUCGACGGGAUAAUUGGGAAGCCGGUUUGAUGCCGGCGCUGCCCCCGCAACGGUAGCAGAGCUGAAACUGCGGCAUUAUCCACUGGAGGAGAUCCGGGAAGGCGCCGCAGGGGUCCAAGGGAGGACGGCUCUGAAGCCCGGAAACCAGCCUCGGGAC